GGGUGGUGAAGCCAGUGCUGAUUUUCACUGUUGACGGAGGUCCUUACGAAAAUCCCCGUUACCAAAAAGUCAUUGCCUACGCUGUGCAACAUUUUUUGAACCACAAUUUGGACUAUAUUGCAAUAGCAUGCAAUGCACCUGGACGCAGUGCGUUUAACCGUGUUGAAAGGAGAAUGGCACCACUCAGUCACCAGCUUGCAGGAUUAAUAAUUCCACACGAUAAAUUUGGCAGUCAUCUCGAUACCCAGCGGCGCACUGCAGACGUCGAUUUAGAGAAAAAGAAUUUUAAAUGUGCUGGGGAAACGCUUGCUAACGUUUGGAACGAGAUGGUCAGCGGGGAAAGCGUAGUGGCAGAGUAUAUCUGUCCAGAUAAACCAGAUCCGGAGAUUGGCACCCAUCCUGGACCUGAAUGGUACACCAAGCACGUUAAGGAGUCUCAAUAUAUGUUACAGAUUUCCAAAUGCUCAGAUCUGGCUUGCUGCACAAUGUCACGUAGCAAAUUACGCAAGAUCCUCCCUGAUGGAUUUAUGCCGCCACCCCUGCUGCUUACAUCAAAUCUGGAAGCAGCGCCUCCUUUAAAAGAGGAUAGCACUGAAAGUGGAUGUACCUCUUGGACAUUUUAAGAAACUUCCAUAUGACUUCUACUGUCCUACGUUACAAGGCGAGCUAAUAGAAAGAUGCUGUUCGAAAUGUGGUACUUACUUUGCUUCAAAAACCUCCAUGAAGGAGCACAAAAAAAAUAUGAAAGAUUAUGUACACGGUUCCCCGGAUCAGUGUUUAUUGGAACAGGAAACAGGACGUCCUGCGGCCCCUCGUCGUAGUGCUCGAAUCUUGGGACGGCGAGGAAUAGAAGUCCUUCAACAGUUGCAUGACGGCGUAACGGGACAGGCACUUGACGUUGAGUGGGUUGAAGACGUGGAUGAAUCGAGCCAAACCGAAUAUUAAGAAAUGACGA
Molecule: non-coding RNA, 955 nt
Organism: Bactrocera oleae (olive fruit fly)
Lineage: Eukaryota; Metazoa; Arthropoda; Insecta; Diptera; Tephritidae
Source: RefSeq, a predicted model, not a curated record